Molecule: ribosomal RNA, 515 nt
Filed under: uncultured crenarchaeote
Lineage: Archaea; Thermoproteati; Thermoproteota
Description: bacterial SSU rRNA
Rfam family: Archaeal small subunit ribosomal RNA
Source: RNAcentral
UGCGAAGCCGACAGGUUAUCCGAGUGGUUUCUGCUAAAGGAACCUUUUGUUAGUCCUAGAAACACUAACGAAUAAGGGGUGGGCAAGUUCUGGUGUCAGCCGCCGCGGUAAAACCAGCACCUCAAGUGGUCAGGAUGAUUAUUGGGCCUAAAGCAUCCGUAGCCGGCUCUGUAAGUUUUCGGUUAAAUCUGUACGCUCAACGUACAGGCUGCCGGGAAUACUGCAGAGCUAGGGAGUGGGAGAGGUAGACGGUACUCGGGAGGAAGUGGUAAAAUGCUUUGAUCUCUCGAUGACCACCUGCGGCGAAGGCGGUCUACCAGAACACGUCCGACGGUGAGGGAUGAAAGCUGGGGAGCAAACCGGAUUAGAUACCCGGGUAGUCCCAGCUGUAAACUAUGCAAACUCAGUGAUGCAUUGGCUUGUAGCCAAUGCAGUAUUGCAGGGAAGCCGUUAAGUUUGCCGCCUGGGAAGUACGUACGCAAGUAUGAAACUUAAAGGAAUUGGCGGGGGAGCAC